RNAcentral lists this ribosomal RNA (425 nucleotides) under uncultured bacterium. RNAcentral's name for it is "bacterial SSU rRNA". It matches the Rfam family "Bacterial small subunit ribosomal RNA", at positions 355 to 796 of the family's 1533-position model. The record is from RNAcentral.
UGGGGAAUAUUGCCCAAUGGGCGAAAGCCUGAGGCAGCAACGCCGCGUGCGGGAUGAAGGCCUUCGGGUUGUAAACCGCUUUCAGCAGGGACGAAUCAAGACGGUACCUGCAGAAGAAGCGCCGGCUAACUACGUGCCAGCAGCCGCGGUAAUACGUAGGGCGCAAGCGUUGUCCGGAAUUAUUGGGCGUAAAGAGCUCGUAGGUGGUCUGUUACGUCCGCUGUGAAAUCCCAGGGCUUAACCCUGGGCCUGCAGUGGAUACGGGCAGACUAGAGGUAGGUAGGGGAGAAUGGAAUUCCCGGUGUAGCGGUGAAAUGCGCAGAUAUCGGGAGGAACACCGGUGGCGAAGGCGGUUCUCUGGGCCUUACCUGACACUGAGGAGCGAAAGCGUGGGGAGCGAACAGGAUUAGAUACCCCCGUAGUCC